Molecule: long non-coding RNA, 1244 nt
Organism: Physeter macrocephalus (sperm whale)
Lineage: Eukaryota; Metazoa; Chordata; Mammalia; Artiodactyla; Physeteridae
Exons: 4
Source: RefSeq, a predicted model, not a curated record
CAGACACUCAAAUCACUCUGAGCUUUUAAACAACAGCGUCUCAGUUUAUUCAGAAAAGAGAGCUAUCAGGUGCGGAAUAAUCUCCAUUUCGAGGCCGACAGGAAAGGCCCGCAGUUCUCUCCCCUCGCUCUGCAGGCGCUCCCAGGACAGGCACCGGUGUCCCCGAGUCCUCUGGGAAGUGGAGUCCUUCCGCCGGGACCCCCGACCCGGCGCGGUCGCCUCCAAGUGCGCAGAUGCGACUCCAGACGGAGCCUCGGGCUUGAGCCUUUUGUCUCCCCGCAGCUCAGUGGGUCCGGAAGGCGACUGUGUCCGCCCUUCCCGCCCCUCCCAGAGCGCAGCCCGGCGGGAGUCUAGCCCUGGGGCCGGAGCCGGGUCCGCAGCGCGUCCGGGGUGAAUAAGGAGGAAGUCAUAGCAAUAUCAGGACAACAAAGAGAAGCUGAUCAUAGAUCAUCUGACCAUUGAAGUUGAAGAAAAAGGAAUUGACAACAGUCAAGGAUGAGGAAAUGAACUUCACCCAUGUGGAGGAGGAACAGCUGAAUUCUGCCCAAAGAUUCUGAAUCUAUCCCUGAAAUGAAAGUGUCCCUUUCAAAGCAGGAAGUCUGUGAAGAAGUAUCAUCUGAAAGGGAGCUGAUAAUAGGAAGACUUACAAAGGAUGAUUCCUGGAACUUCAGAUUGAUAAAAGCCUGGGAAUGUGGAGGCACAUUACAAAGGCAGCAGGGAAACUGGCAAGUCAUAAUUAAACUCAAGAGAAACACUAUGGAGGAUUGUAAUGAAAUCAGGGAAGGUUCAAACACAAUUAAACAUCAGAAAGUUUACUCAGUGAAAAAGCCUUGGAAGUGCAGUGAGUGUGGCAAGUCCUUCAGUUACUACUCACCAGAGGAUUCAUACAGGAGAGAAGCUAUAUGUAUGUUCUGAAUGUGGAAAGGCCUUCAGCUGGAGCUCGUCACUUAUCCAGCAACAGAGAAUCCACACUGGAGAGAAAGCCUAUGAGUGUCACGAAUGUCGAAAAGCUUUCAGUCAUCGUUCAGCCCUUAUUCAACAUCAUAUCAUUCAUACCAGAGAAAAGCCCUGUGCGUGCAACGAAUGUGGGAAGGCAUUCAACCAAAGCACAUACCUUAUCCAACAUCACAGAAUAUGUGAUGAGAAAGAGAGAAACCCUAUAAAUGCAAGGAGUGUGGGAAAGCUUUCAUUGACACCUCAUCCCUUAUUCAACAUCAAAGGGUUCAUACUGGAGAAAAACCCUA